GUAGGUGGCAAGCGUUGUACCGGAAUUAGUUGGGGACGUAAAGCGCGCGCAGGCGGUUACUUUAAGUCUGAUGUAGAAGCCCACGGGCUCAACCGUGGAGGGUCAUUGGAAACUGGAGAACUUGAGUACAGAAGAGGAAAGCGGAAUUCCACGUGUAGCGGUGAAAUGCGUAGAGAUGUGGAGGAACACCAGUGGCGAAGGCGGCUCUCUGGUCUGUAACUGACGCUGAGGCGCGAAAGCGUGGGGAGCAAACAGGAUUAGAUACCCUGGUAGUCCACGCCGUAAACGAUGAGUGCUAAGUGUUAGGGGGUUUCCGCCCCUUAGUGCUGCAGCUAACGCAUUAAGCACUCCGCCUGGGGAGUACGGCCGCAAAGGCUGA
This 379-nucleotide ribosomal RNA is filed under the name uncultured organism. RNAcentral describes it as "partial 16S ribosomal RNA". It matches the Rfam family "Bacterial small subunit ribosomal RNA", at positions 527 to 897 of the family's 1533-position model. The record is from RNAcentral.